UCACAAGGGAGAAGGAUAGGGGCAGGUUGCUGUUAAUGGCUGUUAGCAUGCCAAUUGUGAACCGCAAGCAUACGGAUCAGGUGUAGCUCUUCCUCAGAGUAUUCCCCCAAGGUUUAUCAAUUCGUGGAGCUUAUAGCACAAGAUCUAUUUCAACUAGCAUUAUUAGUAUUAACUUGGUGUUUAUAUGAAAGAUUCAAAUCCAAUCUACUAAGCUUGUACAGAUAGAUAAUAGAUAGAGCAAAGGUAACCAAUCUAGAGCAACCUAGACUAUGCAUAUGUUGUAAUUCUAAGCAUGGAUAGCAAAGCAAUACAAAUAUGAUCUUAUUAAGCAUCUUUAAAUCUAAAACAUCUAGUCCGGAUCCCGAAACUCCCCA
Molecule: long non-coding RNA, 374 nt
Filed under: Setaria viridis
Lineage: Eukaryota; Viridiplantae; Streptophyta; Magnoliopsida; Poales; Poaceae
Description: long non-coding RNA (SVIR_LNC000487)
Source: RNAcentral